Molecule: long non-coding RNA, 14229 nt
Organism: Harpia harpyja (harpy eagle)
Lineage: Eukaryota; Metazoa; Chordata; Aves; Accipitriformes; Accipitridae
Exons: 4
Source: RefSeq, a predicted model, not a curated record
GGGCUGGGUACCCCCGCAGGCUGCCGGAGCCCGUGGAUGUUUGCACCGGGCGGGGAGGCUCCCCGCCGAGCUGCAAUGGACGCUGCCCGCCGCUGGCCGCAGAGCGGAGCCGGAGCCGCCGCCGCCGCCGCCGCCGAGGGAGAGCUGCUCGCCCGGAGCCGGCCCGCAGCGCGCCCGGCGCCGAAGAGGGACGGGGGGGUCUCCUCUUCGGCAACGCUCCGGUGAACGUAGGCUCUGCAGCCGGCCGCCCAGAUAGGUGGCAUGGCAGCCACGGCUCGAGCGAAUAGAACUCCUUGCAUGAAUCGGAAGGAAGCACCGGGAGCAUUCGGUGAUGUCCGUGGGAGGAAGGCACAAGCCACCACCAAGGCCCUUUUCCCUCCAUCUUGAGCCUUCCGUGGUGAUUUGCAGCAGCACAGGGAAGUACGAAGCACCGAGGGACUGAUGUCAGUGUUUAAAUCUGAUUUCACUUCAGCAUAAAUGACCAUGCAAGGUUCAGAUCAGCGGAGGACCAGGGGUAGAAUAGCAGAAGUACUUAAGGUGCCUCUUUUAAAAGUUCUCUUUUGUGUAUCUAAAGAUUAAGGAGCUAUUUAGAAAAGAUGACUCUGCACAUGUGUUUUGUUUACUAUCCUAACAGAAGAUGAUGGUCUGCAUUAUCUUACAUGCUAGAUACAUCUUGGGUGAAUCUGUAUCACCUUAUUGAUUUCAGGGUAGCUCUAUUAAGUUAGUUAAGGAACUAACCCAGCUAAGUUUUAAAUAAUUGGAAUAAUAUUCUCCCUCUCUUUCGGUCAGAUUUGCCCUUCAUGCUACUUGUGUUUCAUAAUCCUCCUAGCUCUCUAUUUCAUCAUUGCAAGACUAGCAUCUCUAUUGGAAAAAAAAAAAAAAAAAGAGGAGGAAAAAAACCCUUAAAAGAUAGUCUUUUUACAAUCCGAUCUUUAUUUUCAUGUUUAAAUAAAUUUACGGCACAAACUCAUCCUGUUUUUUUAAUAGGCCAAUUUAGUUUCAUUUACUUACACUGGUAUUUUUUAGAGCCAGAAGCUCUCAGGAAGAGAAUGUGUUCGAUGCACCAGAACCCUUUAGGGUUUUGAUGAAAGAUAUGAUAUCAUGAGUAACAUCUCCACUUCUGUUAUUCUUCUUACAUUGUAGCGACAAGAUUGAAUCACCAUUUUUAGCUAUUCUUCAGCAGAACUCGUAGUCUAUCAAUGUGUCAGCUCAACAGCAGUUUUCUCUUCACACUAAUGUGAACCAGAAGGUCCAGCUAUCACUGAUUUUGACAAUUUUAUUUUGUCUGAGAUUGCGUGUAUUGCAGAAGUUUGAAGAAAAUGAAUUAUAUGACCUAUUAUAUUUUCCUAAAGAUCUGCAAAACAUAAAAUAUGUCAUCUAAAACAUUUCACGCUCAUUUGUACCAGGUAACAUUCCUAAGUUAGGUGUUUCAUAAGCCUUAAGCUAUAAGCACUAUAAAAUAUUUGUGUGAUAAAUAACAAGUAUAAGAUCAAAUGUGGGUCCCCUAUUUUUUUGAAUGCCUCAGAUAGCUGUCUGUGGUGUUACAUAAUGCAUCAUAAAGAAAUACGUGCCUUCAUUCUCUUUAAAUCACUCCAGCAUAGAUAGUACUAAGCCUUCCUUCAACUCCUUGUUAUGCAAGUCCUUGCUACUGUUAAUAGCUGUCAGCUCUGCAUGGUUACUUAAAAAACAAGGUAACGGCAGACUUUUUGUAAAGCUCCUUCCAUUUCUGGAAUUUACGAGUCAGUUCCAGGUGCGUUGCUCCCUUUCUCAACUAUAAACUAAAUUAUUAUGAACAAACAGUUUUUUCCCCAUUAGAAGAAAGUCCCAUUCAUUCCAGUACAUCACAAGGUAAUCUCUUUUUUUCUUUAGUUGCAUCUAUAAGCAUAUUAUGAGUAUCUGAAUGCACUUGUCCGGUGUCAAAGCACAGUGGAACAGAGCAGAAUGCAGUAAUAUUUUGAAUGUCUGUUAGAAAAUGCAGGCAUAUAACUAAGUACUGAAAAAACACGUAGCAUAGUAAAAAAUCCACAACCAAUGUAGCAGAGCUGUUAGAUAACAAAAAAUCCAUAUAGGCAUUAAGUACUAUUAUUGAAAGUAAAAUCUAUGUUAUACAGUAUAAGCAGCAUUCAAGUGAAAUUGAUGAGACAUCUAUAUAGAACAGAAAGAACCAUUUUUUAAAGCUAUGAUGUUAUGAUGUUCUGUAUUUCUUUACUUGGGAAAUGGAAUUUUCCUUGUCUUUUCGUAAAGGCAUAAAAUUAACAACAAGCACUUCAGAGAAUUAGGUGCACUGCCUGAUUUGUGGUGGGUUUUUUUUCCUCUGUCAAACGUAGAGAUCAUUGGUGGAAAAAAAUCAGGAGAAACCUGUCUGGGUUUUCCAAUAUCAUGGAGAUCUUUCCAAGAACUCUGUCCUUUAACAAGGCCUCAGUUUUAAAGAUACUGAAAUAGGAAUAUCUCAAAAUUUGUAAUACUGGCUAUAUAAAGAAAAAUUUUGCUCUCAGUUUAUACUUGUAGAAGCAUACGUGUAGUAACUCAGUGAUGUGUCACCAGGAAAGGAGGGGUUUGUUUCAUAUUCUACUAAUAGAUGUAUUAGUUUACCAAUCCUCUAUUGCAUUUUUACAUUUUUGUUACCUUUUUGUUGCUCUUGUAAAUUUGGCGUACUAGCUUAUUUGUUUAUUUCCCUUUUCCUACUCAAUUAUUUUAAAAGGUUCAACUAUAUUAUGUUCAGGGUUUGGUACGACACAUGGAAAAUAUUUUUUUUAUUCCUUUUGCAAGCAGUAGGUUGGUGGGAGGAGGUCUGCACUAUAAAAUAGUAUACUUACUAAAUUGUACUCCACUGGGAGAUUAAAUAAGAAAGAGCAGAACGGCUGAGACAAGUCAUUUGUCACAGAUGUUCAUGCAGUUCUGGUAUUUUGUUUAAAGCUGGAUUCAUCAAACAUGAUAAGGAGUAAUUUCUGUCUGAUAUCAAGUUUCCAUCCAAGGAGACUAAGUGGGUUAAGUUUAAACUGUGGUUUGAAAAUACAGGGAAAUGUUACUGGACAGUUGACAGCUUGAUUCGGUAGCCAAAGUGGAUGCAAGAAACAAAAUUGGAGAAUGCUAUUUUUGCAGUGUCUAAAAUAUGUCAGUUCAGAAGUCAGCAGGAAAAUGCAUCACAAAUAUAUUACUGUGGAGCAGAGUUAUGUUAGCUACAAGAUGCUUUUGUCUAUGAAGCACAAAGAUUUUACCAUAAACAUUUGAAUUACGUAGAUUAUAAAGGGUACCGAUGCUGUUGGAGAGCAAGUGUGAAAUGUUCGUACGAUAACCUCCGAUACUUAAGUGGCAUUUACUGACUGCUUUUACCGUAUUUCAUAAGUUUGUAACAGAAUUUUAGUAAUAACACUUAGUGAAAAUGCACGAGGUAAGCACUAGUGUAAUAUUUAUUUCGGUUUUUUUAGAUAGGCUGAUUAUCAUAUUUAUUAAAGUAGAAUAUAAAUGAGAAGGCCCAGGACUAAGAUUACUUUAAAAGGGAGAUUUUUAAAAAUGAGUAUCAGACUCAUUCUUAGUUUGUAUUAGUUGCAAUCUCUUUUAAUAUAAUUUUCCCUUUUGUAAGUUCCUUUCUGUCUCUCUUCCUUCAGAAAUACUAUUCCCCUGCCCUGAAAGGGGGAAAUGGAAUGGCUACGAUUGGCUUCUGUUUACUGGAGCAAAAUGAUUUUUUUCCCAAACUGAAAUAUAUGCAUUAAUUUGCUAGACUACCAGCUAUUUUCACCUAUGGUACUUCUGAGAAAUAGAUAGUGAUGUCCAUUUUAAAUGCAGCUUACUACGUUAUAGCAUCUGUAAUCUAGCGUUUUUCUCUUUGGUAGUCAGAUAUACAGAAUUGUCAGCCUGUUUGCGUUUAAGUACCUGAAAGCUGAAUUGGAAAAAAUAUUUUUGAUACAAUAAGUUUGGCUUUUCAGUCUGUACUUCCUUUUGAGUUUUCUAAGUAAAUGCUACAUAGACUAUCAGAAAAAUCGAGGCUUACAUAAUCAAGCCAUACAUUUUUUCUACUGCCUCCCUUCCCCCACUUAGCUUUCAUUUUACUCUGAAAAAUGAAAAAUUUUGAAUAGAAAAUUACUAUGACAUACUGCUUAUAUACACAUUUUCAUUAGACUGCAUAGCUAAGCUAUUCAUAUGUAUUUAGUAAAAGAAAGCAGUAAGCAAAAUAUUAAAACCUUGAGGUGGCUAAACUUUAAAAUUAUAGUGAUCAUUAAAUACAGCAUUAUCUAAUAUGAUGUACCUAGCUGUGUAACAGUGAGUCUUCUUUCUUUGCAUGGGGAAUUAGGGAACUUCUGUGUAUUUCUUAUUCAAAAAGAAAAAUAAGAAUGUCGUACCCCAUUUUUUUUACUCGUCGUAAAGCUGAUGCUCCUUCGUAAGGGAGUUGGUUUUAAUACCCAGCUUUCAGAGGGUGAGCAGUGAUUAUUGUUGACAAAAUGUAUAGCAAAUGAAUCAAAACUCCGUCCUGCUAGAUAAUUACAAAUUGAAUUAAUUACAAAGAAUAAUAUUAAAAUUUUAUCUAAAUAUGUUAACAUGAACUCUUACCCAUAGGUGGCAGUCAACUUUCACUGUAGUAGGGAUGCCAAACUUUUGGUUCAUGGUAUUCAUACUUAUGCUGAAAUAAUUUUGGUGGGGUAUGCGUAUAUGCAUGUACGUAAGUAUAUACAUGAAUGUGUGUUGAGAGAGGGGGAAGGAGGUAAAAUUAACCCUAGAAUUAAUUAGGAGGAAUCUGAAUUGUUAUAUGUAAGCAAAAGGAAUUAUAUUCUGGAGAAAAGAUCGAGGUAAUUUUAAAACCACACAAACAAUUUUUUAUCUCUCCAUUGCUGAUGCUCAUCUAAAUGAAGUAGUGAUAAUUCAAAAACGAGCAGGUGCCCCUACAAAUUGAGCAGAAAGGCAAGUAUCUCACCAGCCUUAGAGAACACGACCCCAUACCAUGCCCAAUGCUCCAAACUACAUUUCUGUUUCGUCGCCCAUUAUCUGUAAAUUACAGAAGUGCCACAGUGACGACACUCUGCCCUGGAAAUCCCAGCAAUAAGCUGCCUUAAACAUUGAGCAAAUACAGAAAAGGUGCUCUGGGUGAAGGUGUCCUUUCAGACGUGGAGAGCGAGCAAAACCUGUGGGCUGUGGUUCUCCUUCUCUUUCCGGAGCUGCCAUUGACACUGCCUGCGAGAGCAGAGAUCUGCUCAGUUUUGCCCUCAGCUUUGUUAGGGCUUUAUGCGGUUUAUGGGGAUUUCCUUCUGCAAUACUGCUAAGGAGGCGCUUGGGACCCCACCAAAAGUGGAGGGGUUAGAAGGAGCUAAUAAGGCCAGAUCAUCUCAGUCUAAAACAAACAGAAUUUGUGAAACUACACAAGUGACAUACUAAAAUGGUAGCGCUCUUCUGAGAAAAGAAGACCGAAAACUGAAAUUCAUGAGUAGGUAAAGUCAUACUCUUUUUACUAUUACAGCUACACUGGGACUCUCUUCAGUUAAGAUUAAUCUAAUAUUGUGUCAAGGUAGGCCACUGUACACAUUUAGCAGAGGUCAGGAACUAGCAUUUUACAAAAUGGAAAAUUGGAAAAAUAUACAAUUAUAUGUUGCUACUACAGUGUUUUACUGUGAUGCAAGAUUAAGGGCUCAGAAUUGAGCGGAAUGGUGCAGUAUUAUUAAAACAGAAGGCCUAAUUCUCCUUAUGCAAGAGUCGCAGCAACACACAUCAUUGUAUAAGCCAAAGCAGGCAGUACGAUUUCAUAGUCAAACAGGGUAUUUCCACACACAUGCAACCAUGAUGUGACUAAUUAGAUACUUGCAUAUGCACAGCCCCAUUUGUUCCCCAACUGUAAUAAUUAGGAGGAUUGCACUCCAUGUUAAUUUACACUCUUGUGUAACACUAUUGAAUACAAGAUAGCAGGUGGUGAUAAACUGGCUGGUGUGUAAAUUUGAUACGCAUUUUGAAAAUCAGAGCUUUCGUAGUCAGCUCUGACCUUGACGUAGGCAAGACUGGAGAAGACCUCCGCAGCCGUCAGGCCUGAUCCCAGCUAUUGCAGGCAGCCAUGUUGCACUGUUCAACUUAAUCGCAGAGGUACCAGACUCCAUCUUGAAGCUACCCUUAUCAUGAGGUUGCUCCUCGUUUUCCAUUCCUCUGAAUAGUUGAAGAUUUCAGAUAAUGUGUAUCAUGAGCAGCUGAACCUCUCGUGUUCUGCGAGGUCUUUGACUUCUGUUUAAAGAACACUUCUCUCUCCUGGUAUAAAGUCGCUUCCAAUCUGUCACCCCUUGAGCUUUCUUAGGUUACUGCCAAAACCUGCUCAGCCUCAGUUCAGCCAAAACAGCCAUGCCAUACCUGUCGUAGAGGAGGGUGCUUUUCCCUGACCAUUCUUCUAACCUUCCUUUAUGCCUUUUCCACUUUCAGUAAAUCUCUUUUAACACGCAGGGUUAGAAGUAGACACAUCGAGAUAAGAUGUUGCCAGGGCCUCUCGUGGUGGCAUUAAUACUUUCCUAUCCCUGCUAGAUAUACAGCAACUAAUAUUUUGAUUUUUUAAAAUUUUUAUAUUCAGAACUGCCUGCUAUCAACAUCUCACAGGCCACGAGGACUGACCAAAACAUCCAACUUACCUUUUUUAUGGAUGCUGAUAGCAAAAUUUCUUCUUACUCAUUCCUAGUUUAUGACCUUGACCUUUGCACUAUUGUACUGGUAUUGCAUGACAAGAGUGUCAAAAGGCUUUUUUGUAAGAAGGGUGUCAUCAGUUUCUUCCAAACUACAGGCUUCCUGUGAAUUUUCUGGCGUGUCCAGAUUUGUUCAGGAAUCUUUACGCUUUGCACGACUACGGACGUGAGGUGGCACAUGCACAUGAUACGGCGCAGGGCUUUACAGGUGAGCUAGCUUGGCUCAUGAAACAGAGUUGUCUCUAGUAUUACGUUACCUCAGGCACAUCGUAGUGUGUUAUUUCAGGUAAGCCUUCAGAAAGUUGUACAGUACGUCUGACUCGGUGUCAUGCACUGGCUUCAUUUGACAGUUCUGGGCGCAAGAGACAAAAUUCUGAAGUAUUUUUCCAGGAUCAACAGAAGAGAUGGACUUAGUGUCACAUUAUAUUGUUUCUAUUGAUCUGUAGGUUAAUCUCCAGUUCACAAGUUAUGCCUGUGAGAUUGAAGGGAGAGCAGGAUGUACAAGAGUUGUGUGGCACUCUUGAAUAACAUGGAAAAAUAAGAAUUAUUUUUUUUAUAGAAGAAUCUGGAGGGUUUCAGUGGUUGUGUUUCUGGAAGUUAAGUAACAUUAUGACUAUCUCUAAUUAAACAAGCAAAAAUCUAUUUUUCUUUCUUCUCUUUGUCUUCCCUUGGAACUUGCUCUAUGAAAUUUCUAUUGUGGCAUUUUUAUAUAGCAAUUUUAUUUGAUAUAUUUUACUUCUGUGCUUGUGGGACCACUAAGAAACUUGACCACUGUGGUUUAUCUUUAUAGCGAAAAUACCAUACUGAAGAACUUUUGCUAGGUUUGGUGUAUGCCGAGUUCCAGGAUAUUGAGUCAAGCCCAGCAUGUAAAAUUACUUUUGUGCCCUUUGUUAUACGAUAUUGCAGCCCCUCUUUGUGCAAACAGUACCCCAGCUUGUCAUCGGCUGAUCUUUCCUAGGUUAAGGUAGUCAGUGAAAAUAAUUAGCAAGAUCUGUCUGGGAUCGUUCUUUAAGGAUGUCCACUAUCAACUUUCCUCUAGCCUGAGACUUCCCUUUCAAAACUACUUAGCAAGCUUUUAUUCAAAUUAAGAGUUAAUUUAGUAAUUGCUGUCUUCCUUAGGUUUUGGGGUUUUUUUUCCAAGCAGCAUACUAACAAAUGUUUUCCUGAAAUGCAGUCAGAUUAGGUCAACUCAUUUCCUUGAUGUAGAAAAGUAGGGUUUGGUGUUUUUUUUAAAUGUCCAGCUAGUGUGCCAUAACGUAUUCUUAGGAAAGCUUUGUAGCGUUUUUCUUAUUUUCUAUUUAUCCAAUUUUAUCAUAUGCUUCUUUGCAUCCAAGUUCUUGGUGGGCGGUCCCAAUUUUUCCCUUUUUAAACUCUGAUUAAUUCUGAAAUCCUAUUUGAGGUGGCUGCUCUUCUACUUGGAUUCAAGGACCAAUCUGUACAAAUUUUCCCACCUAGAAAUUAAGAAAGCCAGAAUGAAACUAAUUUUUUUUGCUAUUUAAUCUCCAUCUAAAGGAUUCAUGGAGAAGGUCACUCACAGAGAUGGUGGUUAAACAUGGAUUUUCUUGGAGUCUUUAGCAUGUAGCUGAGAAGACCAUAGACAUAAGAGCCUCUAAAUCCUGCAGUUUACUGCUCCAAGACUUUCACACUUCACUUCUAGUCCAGCCAAGGGCUGGUCAUAUCUUGGAGGUUUCAUAAAGUCUUAAGAAGAAAGUGAACAUAGCUAAACAACUUGGUUAAGGUUGCUAUACAUUAAAAGGCAUCCUUUAAAAACCUGAGGUUACACCCAAAUGAAGAAAACAGAAAAGAACUUCUAUCUGGCAGGCUAUAUAUGUAAAAAUGCUAUUAACUGUAUCAAAAAAUGAGUUCAAGGAAAAGCUCACUGGCUCACAUGGCACUACAUUUUAGCAAUGGCUCUAGAGAAAGAUACAGGUAACUACAGACCAUUAGGCCUGAUGACCAAGCCAGGUGAACUAGUUAAAGAAAAGAAUUAGUGAACAAAUGGGUAAGUAAGUGUGACUUAGGGAAUGAAACAGGCAGCUUUUGUGAAGGGAAGCGAUGCCUUGCAAGUCCCCCUGUACAGGGAGAGGAGGUCUGGUCGACACCCCUACAAACAAUUUAAAAAAGACAUUUGGCAUUGUCCUGCUCUCGGCUGGGAUAGAGUUAAUUUUCUUUCUAGUGGCUGGUAUAGUGCUGUGUUUUGGGUUCAGUAUGAGAAGAAUGUUGAUAACGCACUGAUGUUUUCAGUUGUUGCUAAGUAGCAUUUACACUAAGUCAAGGAUUUUUCAGCUUCUCAUGCCCAGGCAGCAAGAAGGCUGGAGGGGCACAAGAAGUUGGGAGGGGACACAGCCAGGGCAGCUGACCCAAACUGGCCAAAGGGGUAUUCCAUACCAUGUGAUGUCAUGCCCAGUAUAUAAACUGGGGGGAGUGGGCCUGGGAGGGAUCGCUGCUCAGGAACUACCUGGGCAUCAGUCAGCGGGUGGUGAGCAACUGCAUUGUGCAUCACUUGUUUUGUAUAUUUUAAUUCUUUUAUUAUUAUUAUUAUUAUCAUUAUCAUUAUUAUUUUCUUCCUUGUCUGUCCUAUUAAACUGUCUUUAUCUCAACCUACGUGUUUUACUUUUUUUUCCGAUUCUCUCCCCCAUCCUGCUGGGGGGGAGAGGAGUGAGCGAGCAGCUGCGUGGUGCUUAGUUGCUGACUGGGGUUAAACUACGACAGACAUCUUUUACCAAAGGCUCUCAAAGAAAUUAAGCUGCAUGGGCAAAGAGGCAGCUUCUCACGUGGACAAAUAACACAUGAAAAGAGAGAAAGCAAAGGACAGAAAUGAACGCUCACUUUUCAUGGUGAUGGGAGACAAAGAGCAGAGCCCCUCCACUGGCAUUAUACAGCGUGCUCAGAAAUGUUCUGGGAAGGAGCAUGAACAAAAGUUGCAGAGAUUACUGUCAACACAAAGACAGGACGAGGGAAAACACCGUGAAGCUGAGUGACUGAGGAACAAAACAGCAGAUGAACCUCGGUGUAGAUAACUGCACUGUGACACACAAGGGGAAAUGAGGGGGUCUCAGCUGGCUGUUACCCUUCCGGAGCAGCGUCGUGGGGCUGUAAUAGAUGCUUCCACGAAAACAUCAAUGUGCUGCUUGGCAGCGGAUCAAAAAGCAAGCAAAGUGUUAGGAAUUACAAAGAAAGGGACAGGGAACAAAAUAAAAAAACCCCACCAUGAUUAUGGUGCUCUGUAAAACUUUUCUUCCACUUUCCAAGCCUUGCACAUGUUUCUUUGGCCUGGCUGCCUUUAACAUAAAUGCAUAGCAACGUGUGUUUAAAAAACAUUGCAAAAUCAAAGCUAGAAAGCCAAUAUCAGACAAACAAACAAAACCCACUGUACUAAAAGAAGACAACAGUUUGCUUCACAGGCCUCUCCCCCACCUUCAGAAAGGCCAAGAGGAAAAGAAACAGCAUAAGAGGGUAGCCGUGGCACUGCUGGAAACAUACCAAGGAGUGAUGAAGGAGACAGCAGAAUGUGAAACCUUUAUUAUCGUUAUAAUGUGGCAAAAAAUAAAAGGAAUCAGUUAAGCAACUGCAAUCAAGGUGGUAAUACGACAAGUCUAUUUGAGCAGCAGAUACCCAGAAGAGCACACCUUCUGUGCCAUAAACCCAGGCAGAGCACAAAUGCUCAAAAGCAGUUGUUGAACUGAAGCAUAUGGACCUCCUAAGAAACCGGGAUUCCUGUGGUGCCUACCUAUGCCACGGUCCUUUUCCUUCCAGAGGUCUCUCGGAGAAGUUGCCCGCUGUCACCCAGCAGGCCAGCAGCAGGGCAGGGCUCGUGUCCCCUGAGCCCCGUCCCACCGAGCGGGAGCAGACCGAGUGCCUGGCCCUUUUGGCCAGGUGAAGGUGGGUGAGUGCGACAUGACUUAACUUCAGACUGGGUGCGAUGCAAGCUGAAAGCAAAAUACUCACGAUGUCCCCUUUCUGUCGGGGAGCUUAAUGAAAGUCCCACUGCCAACUGCAAAAUCUGGAGGCCUGAUUUGAAGGGUGCCACUCUUUAACCUUGGGGCAUGGCCAUAGAGAUAAAAGCAGAGAGUGGCAGAGUAUAGUAAUCUUCAGGACGUGUGGCAUCGUUAUCCUCAGAUGCUGCAUAAGCCUGGUACAGUAGCUCCUACCGUAUCUUGUUUUGAACUUGAACUAUACCUUCUUUAGGGCAGAGAAAAGUUUUCAAAAUUGCCUGAACAUCAUAGCAUUUUUAAAGAAAACAAGCAAACAAACCGAAGAGCCAAGAUCUCCAGCUCGGCGCCACUCAGCUGACAUCAGCCUCUUUGCACAAGGAGGGAGCGUAGCCUGGACCUGCUGUAGCUGUAUCACUACAGAUGAAAAACAAAAGCAAGAUUUCCACCGACCAGGGUUUUUGUCUGAAAAGGACAUCUGCUUUCUGUACGCAUACUAGCACCACCUGAGCGAUGGGGCAAGUUUUAUUUCCUGGUGACACGUAUGAAACACCCUCUAGGUGCAAGAAAACAGGGUAAGAUUGGAAGAAACAAGAAGAAGAGGAAAGCAUGGAGUAUUAACUGCAAAUGAACGGGGCAGUCCUUAGGAGGAUAAUUUUCUCCUUUUAAAUCUGGUGCCCAUAUUAAAAUUUCUCCCAGCAGCACGUGCAUGACUGAUACUUACUCAGCUGAUAGCGCAAAGCAACAGUGACCCUGGCACCAAUGCCGAGGCAAUAUUUACAAAAGGAUGAACUAUUUUCGAACAAUGUCUCCAAUGUACUAAGCACAAACAGGCUUUUCUUCAACAUCAGGCAUGCACGUUGUCUCGUUCCAACGAUUUUGUUCAUGUACAAAUGUAUUCAUUGUGGACAAUGCAAGGAAAAUGUCAUUCUCUAUUUAUAUCCCAGUUUCCCUUUGUCCUCUUUACAGUAUCUCGGGGCAGUGAUGCAGAGCAGAGUCUUGCUCUAAACUCAUGCUAUUUUCCUCCCUGUCUUCCUCCGAAGCUCUCGCAGUCGCGGAGCCGCAGAGAGUUAAAAGCAGCAGAUUUUUUUUUUUUUUUUUGAGACACAAAGAUUGGUCUCUCUCCCUCCUCUCUCCCUCCACCUCCCAACAGAGAAGAUCUAAGUCCUGCCUCUUGCUCCAUCACUCAGAGCACAUAAUGGUCUUGGCAGCGGAGGAUAUGGUGGUAGCAGCGUUUUGAGCUAUGUAAGUGGAUGCACCUGGCACAUCAGCGUGAAUAGGCGAUGUUAAGGCAAUUCUCCCCCAGUAAUGUAUGAAACCAUCCACUUCAUGAACAGCCUUUCUGUGAUAAAGGCUGCCUUUUUGUUGACUUGGAUAAGUUCCCCAGUAUGGUCAAAACAGAAUAAUGGAGGACUUUGAAAGAAGGGCCCUUGCACAGAAAAUAAUUAAUCUAGCAGCGGAGGGGCAGGGAGAAAGAUUUAGUGACACUUGAACACAAAAAACAAACCCCAAGUCUUAGGGCUAAACUAAAAGCAUGGGUGCAGACUCGCACUGUGUUUUCAUUGUAGAACAAAUCAUCUGUCCUGAAAGCAUCGUUCUUGGGCAGGUUGGCCACCUUUUUGGGUAGGAAUUAGGAACAUUAUUUCAAGUGACAUUUCAGGGAAAGGCUGUUUUGCCUUUCAAGUAUCGUCUGAUUUUCUCCAGGGUGGCAAUUUCCACUGCUCUCAAGUGUGGCAUUCAACUCUGGUAAGCUUCAGUUUAUUGGUAAACUGAUAAGCAUCAUUUUAGUACAUUUAAGCACAUCCUAAAAAAAUCAAUUGAUAAAACUCCUACUUCUACACUUAAAAUCACUUUAAAUUGGAAGCUCAACCUUAAGUGGAAUUUGCCUUUAAUAGAUUUCUGCAAUCUUUCCAACUAUGUGUAUACAAAGAAAAUAUUCAUACAUGCCUCAGAUGCAACAGUGAAAUGAAUAUAACGCAUUCCACAAGAAAUAGAAAAACGUGCAUUUCUGAAGAAAGCACAUGUGACUGUUUUCCAAUGUGAGACUUCUGAGGCCGGUACACCCACUUGAAUGGAUCUCCCAGUAAAGAACUUCCUUUAUACCCAGGAUUCAUAUCCAAUUCACUGUCAAGCAUCAAAACAUUCACUGAUCCUUAUAGACUUUGUAAAAAAUUCACUCUUUUUUCCCCAGAUAAAAUAUCUCAAUCAGGUUGAAGCAAUUUUGUUCUCUGAAAGAAAAGUUUGAGGCUUAAUGAAUAUUACUAGAUGAAAAAUUUUUAACCAUAUAAUGCAUUUUAGAUAAAGGUUAUAUAUAACACCAAAUAAAUGAACUCUUCUUGUAAUUCGUACUUCUAAUAAUGCAUGAUUUUAUAUGCUUUAGCACAUAAAAGAUUAGACAGCUUUAAAAUUUGAGCAGUGAAACUUUUAGCACAGCAUGAGAUGAAGAUAAGGAGUAUUCAGUCACUGAAAACAUCUUUCCUUCAUCACUGUCUUUCUCAUCCUGAAGGAAUUUUAAAAUUGCAAUUGAGCAAUUCUUAACUACUGGACAAAAAUAACUUCUAUUAGCUGGAAAACAUUAAGAUCUUUCAACUUUAGGGUAUAGAGAUAAACUGUCAUGUGAGUGCAUGCCUUAUCAUUCCCAUGAAUUGAAGUUUGACAAAGGUUGGUAAUGCUGACAUUUGGAGAGAUGAUUAAACCCCCUGAAUGAUUGAAAGCUAUGCAUAACCCUCAAGAUUAAAUGCUCAUCUAUUGUGGAUGUAUGCAAUAUAUAUGAUUUCAACAGUUAGCUGGCAGCAAUCAUUCAUUCUCUUUUUUCAUUAAAUUUUUAGAAAGUAGCAUCUCCUAAAGUUAAUAUUGGCAUCUCCAAAUAAGGUUAGUAUUGAAAUUCAAAUAAUUUGGUUGUAAUCUAGUUUUGGGGGUGUUUGGUUUUUUUUUCCCCCCCAAAAUGCCUAACAUUGCUUCAUUACCAUAUUGAAAACACUCAGACAAACAACUGAUUAGUCCUCUUUCAGAUAAUGAAAAACGUUUGGAAGUGUUUUAAUACCAUUUGAGUCUCUAGUGAACAGCGUGAAAAAUAUGCUCUUUUCAGCAAAGUUUUUAAAACUGUUUUCUCAAUUUGCGAAGAGUUUCACUAUAUACGUGUCAAUACAGAAGACCUUUUCUGUCAAAACGUGUCAUUUUAUCUAAGGGCAAGUCUUGGAAAAUGCUGCUUAGCAAGUUCUUUUAAUCAGAUGAUAUAUAAUGAAUGAUUGCAGCUAACAAUAUUUUAUGCUUUUGUUGGUUCUGCAGCAACCAGUGUUACUGUUUUUUGUAAUUUCACAUUUCUUAGCAACAAAAAAGUUUAACUUCUGUUGUUGGAAGCUAUACUAGGAUUAUUUUCACAAUCUGCUCAAUUUGUCUGUUCUUACAUCUGACAAUCCACCAUAAGCAACUGAGAAACAUUUUCUGCACAAGCUACAUUAAGCCUCAUGACAGUUAUUGCUAUCUUGGCUGAUCCAUUCAAAACCGUUUCUCCACUUAAUCCAAAAACCUAAAGCUCUUUUUUUUUAGGCUGCGUAUCUUGCCUUGUGGAAGGUGUGUUACCACUACAGUCAUGGUCAGAAUCCAGGUACAGAUGCAACAUGAUCGAAUAAAGUUACAUAGACUCAACAUUA